GAUGAAGAACGUAGCGAAAUGCGAUAAGUAAUGCGAAUUGCAGAAUUUCCGUGAGUCAUCGAAUCUUUGAACGCACAUUGCGCCCACUGGUAUUCCGGUGGGCAUGCCUGCUCGAGCGUCAUUAUCCUCCCUCAAACCCCGGGUUUGGUGUUGGACCGAUGUUGUGUGAACAACUGGUCUAAAAAACAAUGACGGCGUCCGUGGGACCCUCGGUGCAACGAGCUUUUAGGAGCACGCGCCGAGUUGCAAGGACCUUCCGGGCCGGUCUCCUUUUACUAUUUUACAAGGUUGACCUCGGAUCAGGUAGGAAUACCCGCUGAACUUAAGCAUAUCAAUAAGCGGAGGA
RNAcentral lists this unclassified non-coding RNA (346 nucleotides) under soil metagenome. RNAcentral describes it as "partial contains 5.8S ribosomal RNA, internal transcribed spacer 2, and large subunit ribosomal RNA". The stretch from base 1 to 121 matches the Rfam family "5.8S ribosomal RNA", at positions 35 to 154 of the family's 154-position model. The record is from RNAcentral.